CGCAUCUGUGCAUGCAGCAUAUCAAUAAGCGGAGGAAAAGAAACUAACAAGGAUUCCCCUAGUAACGGCGAGUGAAGCGGGAAGAGCUCAAAUUUGAAAUCUUAAAGGGUUUCCCUUUACGAAUUGUAGUUUAAAGAAGUGUUUUCUGUUGAGGUUUUGGUAAAAGUUCUUUGGAAUAGGACAUCAUAGAGGGUGAGAAUCCCGUAUUUGACCUUUACUUUCAACUUUGUGAUACACUUUCAAAGAGUCGGAUUGUUUGGGAAUGCAGUCCAAAAUGGGUGGUAAAUUUCAUCUAAAGCUAAAUAUUGGCGAGAGGACCGAUAGCGAACAAGUACCGUGAGGGAAAGAUGAAAAGAACUUUGAAAAGAGAGUUAAACAGUACGUGAAAUUGUCAAAAGGGAAGCGUUUGACACCAGUGUCGUUUUUCUGAAAAUCAAUUAAAGAACUGUUUAUGCUAAGUUGUUUAGACUUUAUCAGCUAACUGUUUAGUUUUGAGCUUUUCUUUAAUGCACUUUUCAGUUAACAAGUCAACAUCAAUUUCUUUUGCUGUAAAAAAGCUUGAGGAAGGUGGCUUGAGAUUCGUCUUAAGUGUUUAUAGCCUCUUGCCUAUGCAGUCGGAGAGAUUGAGGUCUGCAGCGUAGAUCCUUCGGGGCUAAAUGCAUUUGUGCUAAGUUAUAGCAUUUUAUAGACAACUUGUUGACUAUGAUUUGUCUUGUAGCUUACUCGCUUAUGUUAUUUUACCUACGCUUAGGAUGUUGAACGCGCACAGAGUCUC
This 775-nucleotide ribosomal RNA is filed under the name uncultured Neocallimastigales. RNAcentral's name for it is "partial large subunit ribosomal RNA". It matches the Rfam family "Eukaryotic large subunit ribosomal RNA", at positions 26 to 611 of the family's 3401-position model. Lineage: Eukaryota; Fungi; Neocallimastigomycota; Neocallimastigomycetes; Neocallimastigales. The record is from RNAcentral.